Xiphophorus hellerii (green swordtail) is the source of this 519-nucleotide non-coding RNA. Lineage: Eukaryota; Metazoa; Chordata; Actinopteri; Cyprinodontiformes; Poeciliidae. The record is from the annotation of a RefSeq genome assembly.
UGUGACUGACUGUGUGUGUUUGCAUAUGUGUCCUGCCUCUCUGCUCCAGCUGUUAAGAGGUCAGAGUUGAUCAGUGGCUGUCCAGGCCUUUCAGAGCCACUGAUACACCAGCAGCACAAUGAUGAUGUCACUGACUCUACUGCUGACCAUCCUGGGGCUCCUGGUUCAGGGUUCUUCAGGAGACAUCAUCUUGACUCAGACUCCUGGAGCUCAGUCUGCUGUUCAGGGACAGACCGUCUCCAUCAGGUGUAAAUCUGACCGACUGAUUGGUGAUGACAUCAACUGGUAUCUUCAGAAACCUGGAGAAGCUCCCAAACUUUUGAUUGUGGAUACCACAGAACGUCAGUCUGGAGUUCCUGAGCGUUUUCGUGCAAAAGCAGAACAGACUGACUUCACUUUAACCAUCAGUGGAGUUCAGGCUGAGGAUGCAGGAGUUUACUAUUGUCAGCAACAGAACAGCUUCCCACUCACACAGUGAUACAAGGCCGUACAAAAACCUCAGAGAGAAAGAGGAACUGA